UUGAUAGCUCACGGAAUCAUUAAAACACCAAGAUGAAAUUAUUCAAGAUAAUGGUUAUGCUUAUGCUGAUUCUUGCCUUCAAUAUGAUGGGUGUAUAUAAUGUCGCAAUGAUAGAAGAAAGAAGAGCCGGACCAAAUGACGAGUGGUAUUGCUGUAGGAAAAAUAAGGUCGAAUGUUUGGAAUGGUGCAGGUGAUGGGGACAGGUGGACGCCAAUCCGAUCGGAAGACGAAAAAACAAAUUUAAUAUAAAUCACUUUGAAAUUAAAAAAAUUAAGAAACAG
Saccostrea echinata is the source of this 281-nucleotide long non-coding RNA. RefSeq lists it as uncharacterized. The record is from RefSeq and is a predicted model, not a curated record. NCBI's taxonomy places the organism in Eukaryota, Metazoa, Mollusca, Bivalvia, Ostreida, Ostreidae. The transcript is spliced from 3 exons.